RNAcentral lists this ribosomal RNA (488 nucleotides) under uncultured bacterium. RNAcentral describes it as "partial 16S ribosomal RNA". It matches the Rfam family "Bacterial small subunit ribosomal RNA", at positions 28 to 507 of the family's 1533-position model. The record is from RNAcentral.
GACGAACGCUGGCGGCGUGCUUAACACAUGCAAGUCGAACGCGCCUGUCCUCUGGGUUUCUGGGGGGUGGGUGAGUGGCGAACGGGUGAGUAACACGUGAGUAACCUGCCCCCUUCUUCGGGAUAACGGUCUGAAAGGGCUGCUAAUACCGGGUAUUCACUGGUCUCCGCAUGGGGUCUGGUGGAAAGGUUUUUUUCUGGUGGGGGAUGGGCUCGCGGCCUAUCAGCUUGUUGGUGGGGUGAUGGCCCACCAAGGCUUUGACGGGUAGCCGGCCUGAGAGGGUGACCGGUAACAUUGGGACUGAGAUACGGCCCAGACUCCUACGGGAGGCAGCAGUGGGGAAUAUUGCAAAAUGGGCGCAAGCCUGAGGCAGCGACGCCGCGUGAGGGAUGGAGGCCUUCGGGUUGUGAACCUCUUUCGCCCGUGGUCAAGCCGCGAAGGGGGUCGUGGUGAGGGUAGUGGGUAAAGAAGCGCCGGCUAACUACGUG